CAGUUGUUAGCUGCACUCCACA
Molecule: microRNA, 22 nt
Filed under: Xenopus laevis (African clawed frog)
Lineage: Eukaryota; Metazoa; Chordata; Amphibia; Anura; Pipidae
Description: Xla-Mir-34-P3a1_3p (mature (guide))
Source: RNAcentral